AGCGAACGCUGGCGGUAGGCCUAACACAUGCAAGUCGAACGGCAGCACAGUAAGAGCUUGCUCUUACGGGUGGCGAGUGGCGGACGUGAGAGGAAUACAACGUAAUCUACUUUUUCGUGUGAGAUAACGUAGGGAAACUUACUCUAAUACCGCAUACGCCCUACGGUUGAAAGCAGUGGAUCUUCGGACCUUGCGCGAUUGAAUGAGCCGAUGUCGGAUUAGCUAGUUGGCGGGGUAAAGACCAACCAUGUCGGCGAUCCGUUGCUGGACGGAGAGGAUGGUCGGCGACACUGGAACGGGAACACGGUCCAGACUCCUACGGGAGGGCGCAGUGGGGUAUGUUGGGCAAUGGGCGGGAGCCUGGUCCAGCCAUACCGAGUGGGUGAAAGAGGCCUUCGGGUUGUAAAGCCCGUUUGUUGGGAAAGAAAAGCAGUAGGUUAAGACCCCGCUGUUCUGACGGUACCCAAAGAAGAAGCACCGGCUAACUUCGUG
This 492-nucleotide ribosomal RNA is filed under the name uncultured bacterium. RNAcentral describes it as "partial 16S ribosomal RNA". It matches the Rfam family "Bacterial small subunit ribosomal RNA", at positions 29 to 507 of the family's 1533-position model. The record is from RNAcentral.